AUGUUAACGAAUGUUCCACUCUUUCGGGAAUAUUUAAAAACGUCGCAUUUUUAAUCUCAGAGAAAGCCCUUUUCUCAGCCUUAAUACUCUUUUCUGAUGAUUCUCCAUUUCUUGAAGGUAGUCUAGGAGCCGGUGCAAAUAACAUAAACAGCAAUAGCAAUGUCACUACCGGCGUUGAAGGAACCCACCGACGACGGUCCAUAGAUCAUUGAAUUUGAGGAAAGAGAUAAUUUACUAUCUCAAUGUUUAAUCCUAUUCACUUAUACAAAUGAGAGAUGUCUUUUUACUCAAUGAUCACAGUGUUUAAGGUUCUUGGUGAAUUGAAUUUGCCCUAGUUGGUUAUUGAGUCUCGCUUUUGUAUAGGGAUCUACAAACUUAAGAGCUUAAAUUAUUUAACGAAUUUAAAAGCCCACCUCAGCGUAAAUUUGCCAACAGUGCUUCAAAGAACUGUGGUAAAUUGCGUUAUCUAUCGUUAUAGCCAGACACUCCAUGGGAAUGUACCUAAUAAUGCAG
Molecule: non-coding RNA, 513 nt
Organism: Schizosaccharomyces pombe (fission yeast)
Lineage: Eukaryota; Fungi; Ascomycota; Schizosaccharomycetes; Schizosaccharomycetales; Schizosaccharomycetaceae
Source: the annotation of a GenBank genome assembly